UCAGCCGGCCAUAGCGUGUGGGUCCGACCUGGACUCGUCCGAUCCCAGAAGUCAAACCACAUGUCGCAUGGGCGUUAGUGAGCUCCGAAAGGGCUCGUGAAUCCCAUGUGCCGGCGCCC
Molecule: ribosomal RNA, 119 nt
Filed under: Nitrososphaerota archaeon
Lineage: Archaea; Thermoproteati; Nitrososphaerota
Source: RNAcentral